UGCAUAUCAAUAAGCGGAGGAAAAGAAACCAACAGGGAUUGCCUUAGUAGCGGCGAGUGAAGCGGCAAAAGCUCAAAUUUGAAAUCUGGCACUUUCAGUGUCCGAGUUGUAAUUUGAAGAAGGUAUCUUUGGGUCUGGCUCUUGUCUAUGUUUCUUGGAACAGAACGUCACAGAGGGUGAGAAUCCCGUGCGAUGAGAUGUCCCAGACCUAUGUAAAGUUCCUUCGAAGAGUCGAGUUGUUUGGGAAUGCAGCUCUAAGUGGGUGGUAAAUUCCAUCUAAAGCUAAAUAUUGGCGAGAGACCGAUAGCGAACAAGUACAGUGAUGGAAAGAUGAAAAGAACUUUGAAAAGAGAGUGAAAAAGUACGUGAAAUUGUUGAAAGGGAAGGGCUUGAGAUCAGACUUGGUAUUUUGUAUGUUACUCUCUCGGGGGUGGCCUCUACAGUUUACCGGGCCAGCAUCAGUUUGAGCGGUAGGAUAAGUGCAAAGAAAUGUGGCACUGCUUCGGUAGUGUGUUAUAGUCUUUGUCGAUACUGCCAGCUUAGACUGAGGACUGCGGCUCGGCCUAGGAUGUUGGCAUAAUGAUCUUAAGUCGCCCGUCUUGAACCAAC
This 609-nucleotide ribosomal RNA is filed under the name Lodderomyces parapsilosis. RNAcentral's name for it is "eukaryotic LSU rRNA". It matches the Rfam family "Eukaryotic large subunit ribosomal RNA", at positions 37 to 662 of the family's 3401-position model. The record is from RNAcentral. Lineage: Eukaryota; Fungi; Ascomycota; Pichiomycetes; Serinales; Debaryomycetaceae.